Gorilla gorilla gorilla (western lowland gorilla) is the source of this 1030-nucleotide long non-coding RNA. RefSeq lists it as uncharacterized. The record is from RefSeq and is a predicted model, not a curated record. The transcript has 4 exons. Lineage: Eukaryota; Metazoa; Chordata; Mammalia; Primates; Hominidae.
AGGAGAAAGGAGAUACAAGUAGCCUCUCCAGGAAGAAUGUGACUGAAUACUUUUUAUACAAAACCACAAAAUUAGAUAAAUAUGUAUUUAAGUGUUAUUCCUGAAAGCUGGAGAAAGAAAUCUUACUUCUAAGAAUUGUUUAGCGAAGGAAUAAGAAAAUGUGAUGCUUGGAAGAAAAAACACACUGCCGAGAGGCCUUGUUGCUGAGUGUGCUGAACAAUAGACAACCUCUAAGGAUGCUCGCCUGCAAUUCCGGCUCUGCCAUCAAUUCACUGUAUGCCUUUGGAUCAUCUACAAGACAUGAAUGAUGUUCAGAAUUACUUGUCAUGCCCUUUGCUUGGGGCUGAAAACAAGAUGCAGUCGCACAGAUUUCAAUGGAGUGUGUACUCUAGAGGCAGACUGCGUGGGAUCAAAAUGCUUGCAGUAUAACCAUUGACAGCUUCCAUAACUUAUCUCUUCCCAGUAUGCAACUAAGACAUGCCUGAGUGAAGUUUCCUAGGAGCCAAAUAAUUAAUCCAACAUUUAUCUGAAAUGCUGAACUAACUUGCAUAAUUCUUCAAAUGAAUAUCACACCUUCGAUGGGGAUAUACAAAUUGUUUCAACCUGAGGCUUGAAAAUAUGUGUCAUAAAGCAUUCUGAUUUAUCAAGAACACGUUGUAAUUUGUUGCAUUUGGAAUGUAGCAACCUAACUUCCUGAAUAUUUUAAUAAAAUACCUGUAAAAUUACACAAUCAAAACUAUACCUCCACCGAGCAAAGUGACAGAGAUGGUACUAACAUCAACAAAAAGGUAAGAGAAUGGUAAAUUUCAAAAGGUUCUAGCUGUUUCUGUACUCUCUGUACUCUUACAGUGAAAUCAAGCGCUGAAAAAGAUUCUAGGCUUAAAAUUCAAUUAAAGCAAACACUUUGACAAUUAUUUUACUAUUUGAUGUAAAAAAUAGAUUUUUUUGUCUAGUGCUUUAGUUCUUUGCCUCUUUUUAAUUUUUUCUUAUGUAUGGUUUUAUUUUAAAGUUCCACUGAGGCAAUAUACAU